Molecule: ribosomal RNA, 292 nt
Filed under: uncultured bacterium
Lineage: Bacteria
Also listed under: 2 other names
Description: partial 16S ribosomal RNA
Source: RNAcentral
GGACUACCCGGGUAUCUAAUCCCGUUCGCUCCCCUGGCUUUCGCGCCUCAGCGUCAGAAGAGGGCCAGCACGCCGCUUUCGCCACCGGCGUUCCUUCCGAUAUCAACGCAUUUCACCGCUCCACCGGAAGUUCCGCGUGCCCCUACCUCACUCAAGGCUGCCAGUAUCCCAGGCAAUUCUCCGGUUAAGCCGAAGGAUUUCACCCCGGACUUGACAGCCCGCCUACGCGCCCUUUAAGCCCAGUGAUUCCGAACAACGUUCGCACGGUUCGUCUUACCGCGGCUGCUGGCAC